GGUUCAAAUGGCUUCAUCCAGAUUUGAGAAGUCAUUCGAGAGUGUUUGAAACCAAGAUCUCAAUAUGGAUUUCAUGUCUUGGGGAAGCUUCUUCUGACGCUAUAGUCUGAGUUUGACAUCUCUUCUAGGGCCGCAGUUGUGGCGCCUAGGCCACAGGUGGAAACGGAGCUGCAGCUGCCAGCCUACACUACAGCCAUAGCAAUGCCUGAUCCAAGCCUUGUCUGCGACCUAUACCACAGCUCCCGGCAAUGCUGAAUCCUUAACCCACUGAGCGAGUCCAGGGAUCGAACCUGCAUCUUCAUGGAUACUAGUCAGGUUCAUUACCUGCUGAGCUACCAUGGGAACUCCAUAUCUUUCAAGACUCUUCACUCUACAAAUAUUCUUACAAAGACAACCUCAAACAAUAAGCAUACAGUGCCUUGCUUGCAAAUGUUGCAGAAAGAAAAGAUACCCAUAGAGAAUCAUCUCACAACAGGAAACAUCCAAGGAAAAGAAGAAAGUAGAAUGACUUCUAGUUGUGUGGCAUAAGCAACUAGGUGAAGAAAGGAACAGGAGGAACUUCUUCAGUAGGAAUAGGAGGAGAGGCUUUGGUUUCAUGUAUGUUUCAAAGCUGAAAUGGUAAAGAACAUGAUACAUAUGAGUCUUCAGUAUCACAAUCAGAAGUGACAGUGGUUAACCUCGAAGUUCAUACAGAGUUUAGAUUUCUCUUCUCAAUUCUGUAACGAUGAAUCUCCUUAGCCAGUAUAGUCCUUUUGGAAAGAAACUGUGGCCAAAUGAGAACCAAUGACCAGCUUCACUCUCUUGACAUACCUGUCCUUCUGGCCUUCUAAGAAGAAUCAGUGAGGCCAAGAGAAACCAUUGCAUGAGGAGAAUUCGAAGGAAAUACAUAAGUCAAUCUUUGACACUCUUUAUAAGAACUGUAGAUAAUAUCCACAUUUUCUCAGACCAAGGACAGGUGAAGUUGUCUACAGACUGUUAUCACUCACAUACCACCCUCCAGGCUAAAAGAAAGACCACUGAGUUUGUCACAAACAGAGCUAUGAUUUGGGCAACCCUCACCCACCUAUGCCCAGCCCCACUGUAGCACUGGUUUCUCUGAAUUGUAAUACUUUGGUGACAAUUGUUCAUCUCUUUCAACAAACUACAAGUUUCUAAAACCAGGGAGGGUCUUAUUCAUCUUUUUAUUUUUCUUGUGCCUACCUUCAGUCUAAUUAUGUCAUAUAAAUCAGAAAUGAGAUGUCAGUUUAAGUUUAACCUUUGCAUUUAGAAGCUCCUUUGUCCUCUAUACCAUAUAUCUUGGAUACAAUCCAAUAAGUCAGAUUAUCUUCAGGAAUUAGGUAGAAUAGCUCAAGCAGUUUCUACAAGCAAGAUUUAGAAAAUCUCAUUUAACCUACCAUUAGUAUUUUUUUCAUGGAUAAUCCCCUCAUACCAAAAAAUGAAUUGCUGUAAUCCAUAUUGUCUUUCUUAAGGUCAAAAGGCUUUGGCUAUUUCAGUGGAACAAUAAACUGCUUUGUAAAGAGAAUAGUGGCAUAUGUUAGUCUACAGAUUAAGUAUAAAUUUUUAGCUGCUCUGAAUUUUAACAGCCCAAUUAACACGUGUCUUGCUGUUAGCCUUUUUAAAGAUACAAUCUAUUUACAUGUGUUCAUGUUUUGCAGUUGCUAUAGUUUGUCUAAGCCCAAGGAUUAUGUCAUUAAAACCAUUAUAGCAUUAUAAAGUGAUUUUGGUAUUAUGAACAGUCAGUGGCUUUGUAAACCACCAUUGACUUACAGUAGAAAAUCCAAGGUUUAGGGAUUUGCCAUUGAGUGGGAUGCUGAUAGUAAAAAAACAAAGUUGACAGAAGAGGAAGAGAGAACUUUUAAAUACCUGAAUAGAAUGAUUUGGAGCAGGGCUGCAGACAUUCAUUAGGAUUUUCUUAAAUCAAAUGCUUCUUCCCUAAAAACCUCAGCUACUAUAUUAGUUGCUGAGGGUUGCUAUAACAAAUUACCACAAACGAAGGGUUUAAGCAAUGGAAGGUUGUCUCACGUUUCUAGAGCUAGAUGUCCUAGAUCAAGGUGUCAGCUGGGCUGGUUCCUUCUGAGGGUUGUGAGAAAAAAAAAUCUAUCCCAUGUCUCCCUCCUGUCUGGUGGUUUGUCAGGAAUCUCUGGUGUUCCUUUCUUGUCAACACAUGACUCCAAUCUCUGAUAGUCACUUGGAGUUCUCCCUAUGUGUGUAUCUGUCUCCAAAUUUCCCCUUCUUAUAAAGACACCAGUCAUAUUGAAUAAGACUUGCCCUAAUGAACUCAUUUUAACUUGAGUACCUCUUGAAAGACUCUAUUUACAAAUAAAGCCACAUUCUGAGGUCUCAGGGGCUAAGACUUCAAGGAGAGGAAGUAAUUUCAAUGCAUAACUGCUAUAAAUACCCAAAACCCCACCCAACUUUAACAGUCAGACCCUUUUAACGCAUGUGGCUCUGGCUCUCUUCCCCAGAACAACUUACAAUGUCUUUCUUUUCUUUUUUUUUUUUUUUUUUUUUUUUUUUGGCAGUUCCUGUGGCAUGUGGAAGUUCUGGGCCAGGGAUCAAACCCAUGCCACAGCAGCAACCCAAACCACUGCAGUGACAACACUGGAUCCUUAAUCCACUUCACUGCAAGGAACCUCCCCACAAUCUUUUUCAAUGACACAUACUAGCCAAUGAAAAAUAAUUAACACUCCAAUGAACAUGGUUGAUUGGAAAAAAAAUUGUUUCUCAAUUGUAUAUUUCAGAACUUCAGACACAAUUUUUUUUUUAACAUAAGCAGGAAGCAAAAUUCCAACUGAAGGGAGAUCAUAGAUUGAUACAUUACCGCUCUCAACUUCCAUCUAGAAUUUCAAACAUCCUAUAAAAGAUACUGAAUUGUGUUGAAGUGCCUAGGACUGUUCUGAGCAUAUAUAAGAUGCUUAAUAAAUAUCAGUUAACUUUCUUUAAACAUAGCCAUUAUAAAUCCUAGGCUCAAGAAAUAACUUAUGUCUCUAUUGCCUACAAAUCAAACUACUUUCCUUACAAAAUCCCAUCCAUUGGGUCAGAAGGAAAUUCCAUCUUAAUGAGACUCUGAUUUUUUUUUUCCAUAGAUACAUCUUGCUGAACUAUCCCCAUCUCAUCUGUCCAGGGUUAACUCUUUCUCAUUCAAAGGAAAACUUCUCCUUACCACAUUCUUUUACAAGUCACAAUCUCUAACAUCAAAUAUUAUUUGAAAAAUAGAUUUUAUGCCACGGUAUACUUAGAAUGUGACUCCUCAGAAAUUAAAAAACUUGUUCUCCUUUCCUUCAGGACAAAAAGAUUUUAACAUUCAUAUCUCACGAGAAUGUAAAAAAAAAAAAAUUGCAUUUCAAUCUUCUAGUAAAUUAAAAAGAGGAGAGAAGACAAAAGAUUUAUGUUGCUGUAAUAAAAUUCACAUCCAGGCUAGACUAGACUGCAACUCACCUGAAGACAGGAAUUAGACCUGUUGAAUCCACAGCCUCAUGUACAGUGAGCUGAUAAAUGAAUGAAUGAAUAUAAGUAGUUUUUUAUUGAUAUGGACAUAGGAAAACCACCAUGUAUCCUGAUGAAAAACAUGGGAGGAAAGGAAAGAUAUUUUAGUUCAAAGGCUUAGAGUUUGUAGUGAGAAAAACCUACGUUAAAAUUCCAGUUCUUGCUAUUUCGUGCAUUUUGAACCUUGGUUCCUAUAGUUGUAAAAUGGAGAUAAAACCUUUCAGAAUUCAUGUGAAAUUUUGAGAUAAUUUAUCUCAAUUCGUUGUAUAUAAAAGUACUUCACAUAUGGGUAGUUGUGGUAUUUUUUUUUAUUGUUAUUCUUGGCUAUGCCCGCAGCGUGUCGUAGUUUCCAGACUAGGAAUAGAACCCACUCCAUAGCAAAGACCCAAGCCACAGUAGUGACAAUGCAGGAUCCUUAACCCACUGAGCCACCAGGGAACACCCAUCGUAUUUGUUAUUGUGGUUUUGUUGUUGCUGUUGUUUUACAUUCCCAACAAAUUCUAUAGAGCUUGGCACAUGGUUGCUGCUAAAUAAAAGCUUAACUAUG
RNAcentral lists this long non-coding RNA (4033 nucleotides) under Sus scrofa (pig). RNAcentral's name for it is "lncRNA (ENSSSCG00060040210.1)". The record is from RNAcentral. Lineage: Eukaryota; Metazoa; Chordata; Mammalia; Artiodactyla; Suidae.